UAAAAUAGCACAAAUACAGAGAAUAAGUAACCAAAAAAAGAUAAAAUCAUGAAAAUCAAUCGUUGAACUAACUCAUCAAAUUUGUUGGACCCAAAAUUUUCACAACUCUCAAAGACUGCUCCAACAAGCUCAGCCAAUUUUCGGAUGAAAUUGAGGUUGACCCAUGGUAGAACUAGAUGUACCAGGUUGAGAGGAAUGUUGUGGUGGUGCUCCACGAUCGAGAGAUUGGUCGGAUAUGGAAGUAACUAGGAAAAAAUUGCCACUGCGCUAGCGAUUUUGGAUGGGAAUUGGUGCUGUUUCCAGCGGUGUGGUGGGUAGCCGAUGGUCAAAGGUUGUAGAGGGAGGUGAGAGGGUGCCGGUGGUGUGUGGGUCAGGCGACUUAGGUGGCGGGUGGUGGUUGUUAUUGAUGGAAGGAGGCGGCGAAUCGGUAGCUUGAGAAAGCUAAAUAUUUUUGGGGAAAAUGGAAGGAGGCGGGAGUGAGAGUAAGAGUUCAAGUCCAAUUUUUUAGGUCCAUACAAAAUUUUAGGUUGGAAUUGAAACUUUCGAAUUUUCCGACGGAAUUUUUUGUUUGUUACUAUAUAAUACUUUUAAAAUUCUG
This 598-nucleotide long non-coding RNA is filed under the name Olea europaea (common olive). Its description in RNAcentral is "long non-coding RNA (OEUR_LNC014794)". Lineage: Eukaryota; Viridiplantae; Streptophyta; Magnoliopsida; Lamiales; Oleaceae. The record is from RNAcentral.